This 533-nucleotide long non-coding RNA is filed under the name Vigna radiata. Its description in RNAcentral is "long non-coding RNA (VRAD_LNC015926)". The record is from RNAcentral. Lineage: Eukaryota; Viridiplantae; Streptophyta; Magnoliopsida; Fabales; Fabaceae.
GACCCUACAUUUACCGAAGGAAAAUAUCCGUCGAUAAAUCCGUCGGUAAUAGACCCUACAUUUACCGAAGGAAAAUAUCCCUCGAUAAAUCCGUCGAUAAUUGACCCUUCAUUUACUGAAGGAAACAUCUGUCGGUAAAUCCGCUGGUAAAAUGGGCGGGACUUUUCCCGCCCAUUUUUCCUCUCUGUCCGCGAGCAGAGUGUUAUAUAUUUCGUUUUUCUCAUUUCUUCCUCAUUUGUGCCUGGAACUUGUUGUUUUUCUUACUUCUCCAUCUUCCACUCCAUCUUUUUCUUCUCUUCCACUCCAUUGCAGCUACAAAUCAAAACUGUCUCCAUCUCUGUUCAGCAAGAUCGUCGCUCCGUUUAGUCAGGCCGCCUCCAUCUUUCUUGUCUGCAACCACUGUCAGCACCGUUAAUGUCUCUUUUCUUCCCCUUUCACGCUUCAGCUCACUGUGCAACCCCUUUUUUCUUCCGUUUUCACUGCUGCCAUGGGAGAACGGCACCACUGCCGUGGGAGAACCACGCGGACAAGAG